RNAcentral lists this ribosomal RNA (448 nucleotides) under uncultured bacterium. RNAcentral's name for it is "bacterial SSU rRNA". It matches the Rfam family "Bacterial small subunit ribosomal RNA", at positions 328 to 792 of the family's 1533-position model. The record is from RNAcentral.
CUGCCAGACUCCUACGGGAGGCAGCAGUCGGGAAUAUUGCGCAAUGGAGGAAACUCUGACGCAGUGACGCCGCGUAUAGGAAGAAGGUCUUCGGAUUGUAAACUAUUGUCGUUAGGGAAGAAAAAGGACAGUACCUAAGGAGGAAGCUCCGGCUAACUACGUGCCAGCAGCCGCGGUAAUACGUAGGGGGCGAGCGUUAUCCGGAUUCACUGGGUGUAAAGGGAGCGUAGACGGCCAAGCAAGCCAGGGGUGAAAGCCCGGGGCCCAACCCCGGGACUGCCCUUGGAACUGCACGGCUGGAGUGCGGGAGGGGCAGGCGGAAUUCCUGGUGUAGCGGUGAAAUGCGUAGAUAUCAGGAGGAACACCGGCGGCGAAGGCGGCCUGCUGGACCGCGACUGACGUUGAGGCUCGAAAGCGUGGGGAGCGAACAGGAUUAGAUACCCGAGUA